UCAGAUGGCGCGGGGUGUCGUUAAACGGCUGAGAGUUACCCGUCGAACUUGAACUGGUUCAUACCAGCGUAAGGACGCCUUCAAAAAAUUUU
Molecule: non-coding RNA, 92 nt
Filed under: Legionella lansingensis
Lineage: Bacteria; Pseudomonadati; Pseudomonadota; Gammaproteobacteria; Legionellales; Legionellaceae
Description: TPP sequence
Rfam family: TPP riboswitch aptamer (THI element)
About the family: Vitamin B(1) in its active form thiamin pyrophosphate (TPP) is an essential coenzyme that is synthesised by coupling of pyrimidine and thiazole moieties in bacteria. The previously detected thiamin-regulatory element, thi box was extended, resulting in a new, highly conserved RNA secondary structure, the THI element, which is widely distributed in eubacteria and also occurs in some archaea.
Source: Rfam by way of RNAcentral